RNAcentral lists this long non-coding RNA (3538 nucleotides) under Pongo abelii (Sumatran orangutan). RNAcentral describes it as "lincRNA". Lineage: Eukaryota; Metazoa; Chordata; Mammalia; Primates; Hominidae. The record is from RNAcentral.
ACUCUGUCCUGCUGUCCUGUGAAGAAGGUGUCUGCUUCCUCUUCACCUUCUGCCAUGAUUGUCAGUUUCCUGAGGCCUUCCCAGCCAUGCUGAACUAACAGCUGGUACAAGUGGAUCUGCUCAGCACCUAUAACCUAAUAACCUCUCAGGCUCACACAAGGCUCUGGCCGCUAAGCAAACGAUCUCCCAAAGGGAUUAUUCUCAAGCAGCACAUAAACUGUCCCUAUGCCUCAGGUGGCCCCAGAACUCUUUCGUACUAGAGACUUAUCUGUUAAUAAAGUUAACAAAGGAAGGUGGCCUUCCAAGAAUGUUUGUUUGGGCCACUGCCUGGAAGAAUGAACACUUGACCCUGAGAGACUUGGCUGAGCAGUGCUGGGUCAGCUUAAACAAAGAAGACCAGCCAUCACCCACGGCAAGAGCAGCUCUGACUCGGACCCACUGUUCCCCCAGCCUGUUAGCAGCCCGUGAACAAUCUUUAAGUGACCCCUGGCCCUGUCACAUCUCCACUCAACAGGGCUCUUGGGGAGGAUGUGUGGACCAAGAACAGUGCCCACCCACACCACCUGUAAGUGUGGCCAUGGCAGCCAGCCGGCAUGGAUGCUAAGUAACAAGUGGUGUUGGAGCACAGAUGUGACAGGAGCGCUUUGGGGCAAAGAAAGAGGUGCUGUGAAUGAGGACAGAAAGGAAGGAAAAAAAAGCCUCAUGGGUUAGAGCGCCUCUCACCUUUGGCUCUUCUUCAGAAGACUGGUAAAAGAAAGCAGGAAGAGAAAUUGGUUUCCCUGACUUCUCUAAAGCAAGCGUUCUUCAGAAAAGAGAAUCGAUCAGCCUGGUUAAAGUGGAUAAACUAUCUGAUGUCCAUCCAGAGAGGUGUCUAUUAAUGGCUAUAAAAUGGAAAGAUGAAUCAAUGGGACCGAUUAAUAUUUAUGAAGAGUUGAACUAGGCAGGGUGAAAAAGCCUUGUAUAUUGGAUAAGAAAGGAAAAGCAUUGCACACCAUAGGAUGCGUUUGUUUGGCUAAGGUUUCUGUUUUGAUCACUGGAUAAUUGUAUAGAGCAGGGGCGUACAGUAGAGAAAGAAAAUCUAUAUCUAGAAGUUAUUGACUAUGUGCAAAAGCACUGGUUGGUGCCUAUUUUUGAGGACCACUCCAUCUUAAAAAUAACUGGUUUUGUACGGCCUAGUUGUGGUGGAAAAGGAGCUCCAAAGAGUAAGCAAGUUUCCUACAAAAAGAAUCCAAGCUGUUGAAACUACAAUUAAGAAAUGCAAAGAGUUACUAAUUUUACUACUUAGAGGAAAGGAAAUUUACAAGCAGGAAAGAAACUGUGGAUCAGGGCAAGUUGUAACUCUAGAGGUUCAGAGAUAGGAGCUCUAAUUACACCAGGGCAAGGGAGGACUGUGGGGAAAUUUCUGAAAGAUGAAAUAGGAAAGCUGAGGGUCAAAAUGAAAUAGAGAAGACAUGUUUGCACGGAGCUCAGUUGGGUAAUCAUGAAAAGGAGGAGCGAGGGAGGAAACUGAAAAUCGAAAUAAAGAACAGAAGCACAGACCAUGAAAUAUGCCAAAUAUAGUGUGCAAAUACUCAGAAGGCAUGGAAGGAUAAGUUAGAAGCCAAAACUCAGUUAUCACUCUCGUGUGAAGGAACAAUAGAACUCUUAGCAAAAACAAAUGACUUAGCAUGAGACCAAUACUGCUUUCCUUAGGUAGCUUGGUCCAGAGGGAAAAGGCUGAUAUCACUCCCUAUCAAGGGUUUUAAGACCGUUUAAGUGAGCUCUACAAGUGGGAGACACAGUGAUGAUUAUUGACCGUUGCUAUCUUUCAAGGGGGAGAAGCAAACUGAUGUUACACAUUAGAAUUCGUUAGCACCACCGAACACAGGUUACAAAAAUACUGGGAGGAAUUCUGUCUCCUGAGCACAUUAAGCAAUAUUUGCAAAUGUGUGCAGGUAAGUGUUGACUCUCUCAUCAUGCUGGACCUGGAAAUGGUUCUCAGCAAAUCAUGGCAUGAUUUCUUUUUCAAAGUUGGGUACACGAAUAUUAUCGUAACCAGCUAAGAGCAGGGAGACAUGGCAUGGGAGACUAACAGAUAGUGCAGCUUUUAAGAGAAGAUGUAGAAAUCAAUCUAGUAACAAAUAUUUAUUAAGCAUUGGAGUGUGCUAGGCACCAAGAGAAAAGAAACCUCCACAGCUGAUAAAGCCUUUCAAAAUAAUGUCCUCAGUUAAUUUGCACAUUUCCGUGAGGUAGGUGUUGUUAGCCAUUUCCAUUAAUGAGAAAAAAAAAAUGAGAUUCAGAAAGGUUAAUUAAAUUGGAGAUCUCCUGAUUUUUAGUUUUAUAUCCUUCCCGUGUCCUUUCCAGGCUUAUAUUCUGGUCCUAUCACUUCUCAGCUGAGUUACUUCAACAAGUUAUUUAUCCUCUGUGUUCUCAGCUGUCAAAAUGAAAAUGCCAAUACCUAUCUGGUAAGGAGUGAGAGAACAUUUAUAAAAAUGCUCGGUUGGGUACCUGACACAUAGGAGGUCCUCAGUAAAUUUGUUUUCUCUCCCUUUCUUCCUGAAGUAUGGUGGCAGAUGGAUUCAGCCAGCCAGCCUGGGUAGUGCAAGCCAUGACGCCCUGCUGAAUCUGUGUUCUAGGGUCGGACAGGCGGAGUCCUUUUGCCUAGAGGGACGGUGUGUGAGGCCUAAGAGGACUUGGGCAGAGUCUUGAAGGAGGAGCAGGAUUUGCUGUGGUGGAGAGGUGGUGAGGGGUUGAGCAGAUAGGAGAACCAAGGAAUCAAGGCAGAGAAAGAGAGGGGAUGCAUGUGAAGGGCCAGGAGCUGUUAACUAGUUUGCUAAGCAGCAGGCCAGGAUUUAGAAGGAGUUGGAGAAGCAUGGAGGGCGCUGAGGCUCUUAUGAGGGGAACUUUUAUGCUAAGGGUUCCAACUUGGCCCUGUGAGUGAAGGUGAGCUAGGGAAGUUUUGUGAACUUGGAGUCUCACCUGUUAAGAUUAACCUGGUGCCAGUGUAUAGAAUGGACCGUCAAGGAAGAGGUGGAAAAACAAGGAAAAUUUAUAUUUUAUAGACACACACACACACAUAGACACAGAGCCCUUUUUAUUAUAAAACAUAUAAUUGACUUAAUCCCAUUUUAAGUGGCUUGGACAUUAAUUUUACUCUUGUAAUUGAUUACAGAGGUUUAAAACUGUUGUGUUUUUGCCUUUGUGACAUAUUAUGGCCAUAUCUAAAAUUUAUUUGAUGUUAAAUCAGGAACAAAACUCUUCAAUUCUAUUGUUGUUCCUAAGGUAAAAUAUAAUCUACUUUGAGUCAAUUCACUGUGUCAUAAACUUUCCAGGAAUGGGAAACUUGAUAAAAAGCAGAGACUCACUGCAUAUGACAAUAAUUAAAUCUAUAUUCAACAAGUAUAAAAGAAUGGUUGUAGGGGUGAGCAAUUUGGAAGAAAAAAAGCCACUUGACUUAAAUAUGACAGAAAAUCAUACUGAAGUCUGACACCCCAUGACCUUUUUUGAGAUUUGAGGUUAUGCCAUGUAUUUGAGAAUAAACAAAAUCCAGUUAAGUGUC